This 77-nucleotide small RNA is filed under the name Xanthomonas pisi DSM 18956. RNAcentral describes it as "sX9". It matches the Rfam family "Xanthomonas sRNA sX9". Lineage: Bacteria; Pseudomonadati; Pseudomonadota; Gammaproteobacteria; Lysobacterales; Lysobacteraceae. The record is from RNAcentral.
AUCCGCCAGGCGGGCGCGGCCGNNUCCUGCGCGCCGUCCACACCCGCCUGACGACUGCUCGCUACGUUUUGUUAGCC